AGCUCCAAUAGCGUAUAUUAAAGUUGUUGCAGUUAAAAAGCUCGUAGUUGGAUUUCUGGUUUGAAUGUUCGGUCCGCUUGUGUUUAUCGCGAGUGUGUACUAUGGACAUUUGGGCCAUUUUUUGUGAGGAAGUUUCUCUGCCAUUAAGUUGGUGGGUUUACUGACUUGCAUCGUUUACUGUGAAAAAAUUAGAGUGUUUAAAGCAGGCGUUUGCUUCUGAAUACAUUAGCAUGGAAUAAUAAGAUACGACCUUGGUGGUCUAUUUUGUUGGUUUGCACGCCAGGGUAAUGAUUAAUAGGGACAGUUGGGGGUAUUCAUAUUUCAGUGUCAGAGGUGAAAUUCUUGGAUCACUGAAAGAUGAGCUUAGGCGAAAGCAUUUACCAUGGAUGUUUUCAUUAAU
This 400-nucleotide ribosomal RNA is filed under the name phytoplankton environmental sample. RNAcentral's name for it is "partial small subunit ribosomal RNA". It matches the Rfam family "Eukaryotic small subunit ribosomal RNA", at positions 587 to 977 of the family's 1831-position model. The record is from RNAcentral.